GGCGCCGGGGCUUAGUUGGUUAAAGCGCCUGUCUUGUAAAUAGGAGACCGUGAGUUCGGAAUCUCAUCGGUGCCU
Molecule: non-coding RNA, 75 nt
Organism: Rhipicephalus microplus (southern cattle tick)
Lineage: Eukaryota; Metazoa; Arthropoda; Arachnida; Ixodida; Ixodidae
Source: the annotation of a RefSeq genome assembly